UACGUAGGGGGCGAGCGUUGUCCGGAAUUACUGGGCGUAAAGGGUGCGUAGGUGGCACUUUAAGUUGGAUGUGAAAUCCCCGUGCUUAACAUGGGAGCUGCAUCCAAUACUGGAGAGCUAGAGUGCAGGAGAGGUAAGCGGAAUUCCUAGUGUAGCGGUGAAAUGCGUAGAUAUUAGGAGGAACACCAGUGGCGAAGGCGGCUUACUGGACUGUAACUGACACUGAGGCACGAAAGCGUGGGGAG
RNAcentral lists this ribosomal RNA (245 nucleotides) under uncultured Eubacteriales bacterium. RNAcentral describes it as "uncultured Clostridiales bacterium partial 16S ribosomal RNA". It matches the Rfam family "Bacterial small subunit ribosomal RNA", at positions 524 to 768 of the family's 1533-position model. Lineage: Bacteria; Bacillati; Bacillota; Clostridia; Eubacteriales. The record is from RNAcentral.